This 1701-nucleotide long non-coding RNA is filed under the name Triticum aestivum (bread wheat). RNAcentral describes it as "long non-coding RNA (TAES_LNC003774)". Lineage: Eukaryota; Viridiplantae; Streptophyta; Magnoliopsida; Poales; Poaceae. The record is from RNAcentral.
AUCUCUACUACUAAUAAACAAGCAAACAAGAACUUCGCUAAAUACACCCGGCAACUUGUCCCACAAAACGCACGGAACAAUCAACACCACACAAUUAUACCCGCACAUCUAAAUCUAACAGCCAUCAUUCAUUUGCUGCCUGUACGGUGUGGACUUAGGAAAUACCCUUGACUGACCGUGCUCCACCUCCAGCACCCCCCAUCCACCCCCUACAAUCACGCUGUACUCCAGGUAAAUAAGGAAACAACAUUAAUUCGUCAUCACACCACGCUGAUCUCCUGGUAAAAUAAGGAAACAAAAUUAAUUCGACAUCGCACCAUCGCCAACGUCAUCGCCAUUGUUGCCGACCAACGUGGAGACCGUCCGCGAGCAGCGUCGCUUCCUUCCCCGAGGUCGCCAGGGCAGCGACGCCACAAAACUUCCAGCAAGGUCGCCAUGGCAGCGACGCCAGGGAACGCCCAGGAUCCUGCCCUCGCAGCGUGGCAUCCCUACGGGAGAUCCCCACUGGUACAGCCCGCCCUGCCCGUCGCAGCCAGCCGGAUACACGCAGCUGUAAAAUUCUUCUCUCCACUUUAGUCUAAACUUCUUCCUUUGACCUGCUUCUUCCUUUGACCUGUUGCAUCAAUACUCCAAAUUAUUAUUUUCAGAAUAUAUAGUUCUAAAAUAUACACGCGUGCACAUCACAAUACUACACAUCUGUAUCGAUUUCCAGCCUAACUGAUACAUGCAUCCUAUGUCCUAGACCUGGUGUGAACUAAAAUAGCCAUUCAUAUUUUAGAGUUGUGGUUUCGAAGUUAUUUGUAAAUGUAAUCCAUAUGAACAUUAUUCUUUUACUUACUUCAUUAACAUAUGUGCCAAUAUGUUCGCACCAUACCCUCAGGGCCAUUACCUUGACUGUCCAUUCUAGAUAAUUAAGCUCCAAGGCACUUGAUCAAUUGACAACUGUAAAAAACAGGUUGCAAGUGCAUGUGAUGCCUACUUACUUUCUGAUGAAGUCAUAACCAUCUGCAUACUUGGUUGCCUGAUUUUAUUUUAAAUGGAGUUGUAUGCGUUGGUAAGAAAUUAAGGUGUUUGUAAACUUGGUGAGACUAUCUUGACGACAAAGGGAGGGGACAAACUAUAGCCGCUCUUAUCCCCUUAGAGGGAGAGGUUAGGAGAGAACAAACCAUAUCUUUAGUCUAAACUUCUUCCUUCGACCUGCUUCUUCCUUUGACCUGUUGAAUCAAUACUCGGAAUUGUAAUUUUCAGAAUAUAUAAUUCUAAAAUAUAAACAUGUGCACAUCACAAUACUACACAUCUGUAGCUAAUGUUUAUUGACCUGUUGCAGCAAUACUCAGAAUUGUAAUUUUCAGAAUAUAUAGUUCUAAAAUAUACACAUGUGCACAACACAAUACUACACAUCUGUAGCGAUUUCCAGCCUAACUGACACAUGCAUCCUAUGUCCUAUACUUGGCGUGAACUAAAAUAGCAAUUCAUAUUUUAGAUUACAUCUAGCAGUGGGGAUAAAAAAUAUAGCUUCAUUGUCCCAAGUAGAUACGUCAGGAUAAAGAAUAGAAGUUAAUUUCCGCACCAAUAAAUCACAAUUUCUGUACCUGCCAAAGCAACAUUCUAUGUUUGCGGCUCAACAGCAGGGCCAAUAUCAUCUUCUGCCUUCUGUUUUUGUGUAAGUGAACAGGAGGGCCAACCACUGAGAGUGGUCCU